RNAcentral lists this ribosomal RNA (702 nucleotides) under Monothalamids sp. Its description in RNAcentral is "SSU rRNA". It matches the Rfam family "Eukaryotic small subunit ribosomal RNA", at positions 1160 to 1677 of the family's 1831-position model. The record is from RNAcentral. Lineage: Eukaryota; Foraminifera.
AAGGGCACCACAAGAACGCGUGGAGCAUGUGGCUUAAUUUGACUCAACGCGGGAAAUCUUACCGGGUCCGGACACACUUAGGAUUGACAGGUGAAUGUGGUUAACUUAGGUUAGCCCUAUAAAUAUGCUAGUCCUUUCAUGAUUGUGUGAUAGGUGGUGCAUGGCCGUUCUUAGUUCGUGGAGUAAUCUGUCUGCUUAAUUGCGCCAUUCGAUGGGGCUUUGUCCAUAUGCAGUUCAUCGUUCUCUUCGCGAGAGCUUUGAUAUUGUGGGACGUAAAAAUGCCCUGAAGGCAACGAACGUGAUCGCAACCUUUAGUGCAAACUAGAGGGACCGCUGGCAUUCUAUAACCCAGAGGAAGGUUGCGGCAAUAACAGGUCUGUGAUGCCCUUAGAUGUUCCGGGCCGCACACGUGCAACAAUGAUCCAUGCAGUAAGCAUGUCAUCAGGACUGUUACUUUAUCUUUAUGUUAAAGUUCAGCAAGCCUGCUUCGAAAGUAAGUAGGCAAUCAAUUCGAAGUAUGGAUUUCCACCUGCAUAUUUCUCUUCUAUCAUUCUAUGAUAAAGAGGUGCAUUUAACGAAUUCAUGGUGGGGACAGACCAUUGUUAAUUGUUGGUCUCGUUUUCAACUAGGAAUGCCUUGUACGGGUCUUGGUUCAACAAACCACCCGGAAUAUGUCCCUGCCCUUUGUACACACCGCCCGUC